AGUUCUUCCUCUCUCUCUUGGCCAUCUCAACAAAAUUUCCAGCAAGGUCCUUCAAUAUUUUCAGCCAAGUUCACCAACUUUUCACUAGUUUCAAAGAUAAAACAUACUAUAUAUAUAAGGCAAGAGAUAAAAUAUAUAUCAUGCAUUUCUAGUAAAAUUUCUUCCAAGAUUUUUAAUGAAUAGUUGUGAAACUCAAGCUCUCUUCCUCUCGGUCAACACAGAGAAUUUUCCAGCAGGUUAUCAGUUUUUAAGCAAAGUUUUCCUUCAGAUUUUACGCUGAUCCUUCUUUGUUUCACGUUAAACACUGCAUGCAUGACAAGGUAGAAGAGCUAGGGUGUGUGUGUGUUGUAUACAAAUUCAACUUAACAAAUUUUGAGAGAAGAACAACAUGCAGUAAUUUCAGCAGAAUAUUUCCAGCUUUGAGGCAUUUUUCCUUGGUUAAAUUUCUCUUUUCUUGAGGGUAGUUCAAGUUAAGACAGUAUAGAACUAAGGUAGAGAGGAAAUAAGGGAAAUUUAUCAGGUUUUACCUCUUGUUUCCUGACAAUGAAAGCUGGGAAAAUUGCAGACUGUUUCACCUUUCUUCUCUCGGUUUCUCAAAGGCAAAAUGCUCCAAUUUUCUCCCCUCAAUGCAGCUGGUUUGGGCACAAAGAAGCUGCAAUCGCUUCCUCACUCUCAAUUCUCUCUCUUGUGUUGAAUUGAUAAGAGGAAAAUGGACUAACUCUCUCACUCACUCUCUCGGUUGCAGGCUAGAAUAAAAAAGAACUAGAAAUGUGUUUGCUCUCUCGGUC
This 788-nucleotide long non-coding RNA is filed under the name Coffea arabica (coffee). RNAcentral's name for it is "long non-coding RNA (CARA_LNC006370)". The record is from RNAcentral. Lineage: Eukaryota; Viridiplantae; Streptophyta; Magnoliopsida; Gentianales; Rubiaceae.